UACGUAGGUGGCAAGCGUUGUCCGGAUUUACUGGGCGUAAAGGGAGCGUAGGCGGACUUUUAAGUGAGAUGUGAAAUACUCGGGCUCAACUUGAGUGCUGCAUUUCAAACUGGAAGUCUAGAGUGCAGGAGAGGAGAAUGGAAUUCCUAGUGUAGCGGUGAAAUGCGUAGAGAUUAGGAAGAACACCAGUGGCGAGGGCGAUUCUCUGGACUGUAACUGACGCUGAGGCUCGAAAGCGUGGGGAGCAAACAGG
This 253-nucleotide ribosomal RNA is filed under the name uncultured bacterium. Its description in RNAcentral is "partial 16S ribosomal RNA". It matches the Rfam family "Bacterial small subunit ribosomal RNA", at positions 524 to 776 of the family's 1533-position model. The record is from RNAcentral.